UCAGAGCUGCAAGCAAAGAAUGGAAAUUUCCAAUUGCAGCAUCAAGAGCUGCUGUUCUGCUGACUGUCUUGCUCAGCUGGGGUCAUCUGCUUCUCUAAGACAUCAAGGAAUGCCAAGAUCCUUAGAUGCUGAAAGGAAUCUGCAAAGUGCUGCCCACAGGACUGGAAAUCGGUCAAGACAGGGCUCAUUCCCAGCUCUACCUAGGCGAGUUGGGGAGAUACUUGUUGCUGUCUACGUGUGAUGUUGAAAGAAAUGAGGAAAAUGAACUGCCUUAAUUAUUACCUGCAACCGCUGACCUGAGAAUCUGACGAGAAUUGUAAUAUAGGAUCACAGAAAUGAAGGUAAUCUCUGAAAUAGGAAUCUACCUUUUAAGCUUAGGUGGGUGAGCCCCAAAUUGUAAUAAAGAGUAAGUAUUUAAGAAACUUUCCCAUAAGCAAUUUUUCCCUACUAUUACCUAAUUUCUACCUUACGUAAUUGUAUGGACAAUUUUUCUUGUACUCUAAAAUGGAGAUGUGAAAAAAAGCUUUUUGCCAUAGCUAAUGUUUGGAACCAUUCCUGUAUGACAUGGAUUAUAUUUCUAGACUAAGUUGCGACAGUACAGAGUAAUGGGUAAGAAUCCAGGCUUAGAGACAGACAGAUUUGUGCUUAUGCCACAGCUGUAUGAUCAUGGGCAGUUUACAUAAGCUCUCUAAGCCUCAAUUUCCUCACCCAUAAUAUGUGGAUGAUACUAUCAUCCAGCUGAUCACAUUAUUGUGAGGAAUUGUCUAGAACAGCGCUGUCCACUGAAAUACAAUGCAAACCACAAAUGUGCACCACAUAUGUAAUUUAACAUUUUUAAAACGCCCCAUUAAAAAAAGUAAAAAGAAACAGGUGAAAUUAAUUUUA
This 885-nucleotide long non-coding RNA is filed under the name Dasypus novemcinctus (nine-banded armadillo). Its description in RNAcentral is "lncRNA (ENSDNOG00000052733.1)". Lineage: Eukaryota; Metazoa; Chordata; Mammalia; Cingulata; Dasypodidae. The record is from RNAcentral.